Non-coding RNA from Nippostrongylus brasiliensis, 72 nucleotides. The record is from Rfam. NCBI's taxonomy places the organism in Eukaryota, Metazoa, Nematoda, Chromadorea, Rhabditida, Heligmosomidae.
ACAUCGGUAGCACACUGGUUAGUGCAGUCUGCCGGAAACAGAAACGCGCCGGUUCAAUUCCCGUUCGAUGUC